This 497-nucleotide ribosomal RNA is filed under the name uncultured bacterium. Its description in RNAcentral is "partial 16S ribosomal RNA". It matches the Rfam family "Bacterial small subunit ribosomal RNA", at positions 28 to 507 of the family's 1533-position model. The record is from RNAcentral.
GAUGAACGCUGGCGGCGUGCCUAAUACAUGCAAGUCGAGCGAACAGACGAGGAGCUUGCUCCUCUGACGUUAGCGGCGGACGGGUGAGUAACACGUGGAUAACCUACUUAUAAGACUGGGAUAACUUCGGGAAACCGGAGAUAAUACCGGAUAAUAUAUUGAACGGCAUGGUUCAAUAGUGAAAGACGGUUUUGCUGUCACUUAUAGAUGGUUCCGCGCCGCAUUAGCUAGUUGGUAAGGUAACGGCUUACCAAGGCAACGAUGCGUAGCCGAGCUGAGAGGGUGAUCGGCCACACUGGAACUGAGACACGGUCCAGACUCCUACGGGAGGCAGCAGUAGGGAAUCUUCCGCAAUGGGCGAAAGCCUGACGGAGCAACGCCGCGUGAGUGAUGAAGGUCUUCGGAUCGUAAAGCUCUGUUAUUAGGGAAGAACAACUGUGUAAGUAACUAUGCACGUCUUGACGGUACCUAAUCAGAAAGCCACGGCUAACUACGUG